CCUGGUAGCUCAGUUGGUAAAGAACCUGCCUGACGUGCAGGAGACCCGGGUUCAAUCCCUGGGUCAGGA
RNAcentral lists this transfer RNA (69 nucleotides) under Ovis aries (sheep). It matches the Rfam family "tRNA". Rfam says of the family: Transfer RNA (tRNA) molecules are approximately 80 nucleotides in length. Their secondary structure includes four short double-helical elements and three loops (D, anti-codon, and T loops). Lineage: Eukaryota; Metazoa; Chordata; Mammalia; Artiodactyla; Bovidae. The record is from Rfam by way of RNAcentral.